AUAGGCUUUAUGCCCUGAAGUGGGCUCACCAGAUCCAGUGGGUUCGAGCUGUGUUGACCGUUACUUCUUCCUCUGUUCUCGGUUAUGCCUGGGAAGCUGGCUCUGCGGAUCCCCAGAGGCCUCUGGACAGCAGCCGUGAUGGUGACGCUGGUGGUGCUGAGCACCCCAGGGGCUGAGGGCAGAGACACCCCACAGGACUUCGUGCACCAGUUUAAGGGCCUGUGUUACUUCACCAACGGGACGGAGCGGGUGCGGCUCGUGACCAGAUUCAUCUAUAACCUGGAGGAGUUCGCGCGCUUCGACAGCGACGUGGGCGAGUACCGGGCGGUGACCCCGCUGGGGCGGCCGGACGCCGAGUACUGGAAUGGCCAGAAGGACCUCCUGGAGGAGACGCGGGCCCUGCUGGACACGGUGUGCAAACACAACUACCAGCUGGAGCUCAUCACGACCUUCCAGAGGCAAGUGGAACCUACAGUGACCGUCUCCCCAUCGAGGACUGAGGCUCUAAACCACCACAACCUGCUGGUCUGCUCGGUGGCAGAUUUCUAUCCAAGCCAGAUCAAAGUUCGGUGGUUCCGGAAUGACCAGGAGGAGACAGCCGGCGUUGUGUCCACCCCUCUCAUUAGGAACGGGGACUGGACCUACCAGAUCCUCGUGAUGCUGGAAACGACUCCCCAGCGAGGAGAUGUGUACACCUGCCGUGUGGAGCACCCCAGCCUCCAGAGCCCCAUCACGGUGGAGUGGCGGGCACAGUCUGAAUCUGCCCAGAGCAAGAUGCUGAGUGGUGUUGGGGGCUUCGUGCUGGGGCUGAUCUUCCUCGGGCUGGGCCUCAUCAUCCGUCACAGGAGCCAGAAAGGAUAACAGCUGCUGCCCCGCCUCCCAUACAUCUGCAUCAGGCUGAAUGAAGUGCUGUGUCCUCUUUACCUGAUUCAUCUUCACCCAGAUGUUAGAGGAGGGCUUGUGCGCUGACUCCUGAGGAUACUUUGGGAUUGGUUUUCGCUCUUCUGCAAAGCCUGUUUGUCCUUGCCUGGAAUUCCCAGCUGCCUGUCAGCCCGUACCCCUCUGUGAUCAGAUCCUACUGUGACUCGGAUGCAGUCACAAGGUCACUUCCUGUGACACCUCCCCUCCCCCCGAGGAUCUGGCUGUGAUGCUGCUUCCUGACUGACGCCAGAGCCUCUGCCUGUGCGCUGCCAGCUGCAUCUACUCAGAGCCCAGUGGGUUUUUCUGUUCCCAUUCCCCCCCAGCAAACUGUGCUAGAGAAGCCUAUUAAAACCAUUUACCUUGGUGUUGAGCUUUUUAUUAAAAUUAAACUUGAUUAUGAGUUA
This is an RNA transcript of Hippopotamus amphibius kiboko, 1325 nucleotides long. It is a transcript of the gene named boLa class II histocompatibility antigen, DQB*0101 beta chain-like, with no coding region annotated. The transcript is spliced from 6 exons. NCBI's taxonomy places the organism in Eukaryota, Metazoa, Chordata, Mammalia, Artiodactyla, Hippopotamidae. The record is from RefSeq and is a predicted model, not a curated record.